Molecule: ribosomal RNA, 639 nt
Filed under: Pseudomonas poae
Lineage: Bacteria; Pseudomonadati; Pseudomonadota; Gammaproteobacteria; Pseudomonadales; Pseudomonadaceae
Description: bacterial SSU rRNA
Rfam family: Bacterial small subunit ribosomal RNA
Source: RNAcentral
UAGAGUUUGAUCCUGGCUCAGAUUGAACGCUGGCGGCAGGCCUAACACAUGCAAGUCGAGCGGUAGAGAGAAGCUUGCUUCUCUUGAGAGCGGCGGACGGGUGAGUAAUGCCUAGGAAUCUGCCUGGUAGUGGGGGAUAACGUUCGGAAACGAACGCUAAUACCGCAUACGUCCUACGGGAGAAAUCAGGGGACCUUCGGGCCUUGCGCUAUCAGAUGAGCCUAGGUCGGAUUAGCUAGUUGGUGAGGUAAUGGGUCACCAAGGCGACGAUUCGUAACUGGUCUGAGAGGAUGAUCAGUCACACUGGAACUGAGACACGGUCCAGUCUCCUACGGGAGGCAGCAGUGGGGAAUAUUGGACAAUGGGCGAAAGCCUGAUCCAGCCAUGCCGCGUGUGUGAAGAAGGUCUUAGGAUUGUAAAGCACUUUAAGUUGGGAGGAAGGGUUGUAGAUUAAUACUCUGCAAUUUUGACGUUACCGACAGAAUAAGCACCGGCUAACUCUGUGCCAGCAGCCGCGGUAAUACAGAGGGUGCAAGCGUUAAUCGGAAUUACUGAGCGUAAAGCGCGCGUAGUGGUUUGUUAAGUUGGAUGUGAAAUCCCCGGGCUCAACCUGGGAACUGGUAUUCAAAACUGACUGAC